GGGAGGGGAGGGGGAGGGGAGGGGGCGGGGACGCUCCUUUCUGAGUCGAGUAAACCAGCCUGCCGCGUGCCCUGACCGGCCCCCAACCCCGGGACAGCUCGAACCCUGUCCUGAGAACCUUGAUCCGCAUCCUCCCUGGCUGACCCCUGAUCUUUUGUGAACCUUGAUCAGCACAUCCUCCCUGGCUGACCUCCCUGGCUGACCUCUGACCUUUUGUGAAACUUGAUCCGCAUCCUCCCUGGCUGACCUCCCUGGCUGACCCCUGACCUUUUGUGAACCUUGAUCAGCAUCCUCCCUGGCCGACCUUGAUCAGCAGCCUCACUGGCUGACCCCUGACCUUUUGUGGGGUUUCACAAAACACCUGGGGAGGGCGAGCCUAAUAUCUGCGAUGCUUCUGGAAGGCCCGGGAGAAUCCGACACAGCCGGUGACUAACGAAAAGUGACAAGUGUGCCCAAUCUGACGGAGAACAAGAACCGUAUUGGCUUGGGCCUUGGAGGGAGGGUGAGAAACCUAGCAUCGCCAGAAUCGCCAGGAUCGGAGGGAUGUACUGCUCCCAAAGACAGGUCUGGAUUCCUCUCCCUAUGGAACUGAUGGAAGAAUUCAGGUCCUUGAGAUAAUGUGCUGGGAGCCUAGAGAUGUGAGUCCAGUGAUACCAACCACUGAGUAAAAGGGGGUGAACAGAAUAAGCAGGCCCCGAAGGUAGAAAAAGCAGCUAUGGACUACGUUUUUUCGGCUCUGGAUUGCUCACGGCAUCUACAGAGCAACUUAGACUUCCUUGGUGAGAAGCUGCUGCUUGCAUGUAAACAUCACCACAUCUGAAGUCUUAUUCCUGGACAUCGGUUAUGAGUCAGUGAAAAGCCCCAAAUGAUCUAUGUAUCACUUGCUCUCCUGCACUUUCAGUUUAUGUCACAAACUAGAAAAAGGACUGAGCUCAAUUUGCUGGAAUCUCCCUCAUGACAGUUCAUUUUUAUUUUGAAACAAGUGUUGGUAAAUGUUAAUGCUAGAGAAGAGGCUUACAAUAAAUAAGUAGAAAUGAAAGCAGAAAUAAGGCAGUUCACACAAGCUCAAUUUCCAUGACUCUAAAAAUGUUGCUCAAUCAACAGCACAGCCCGACCAGGAAAACCAGAACACUUUGUUAUGGGCAGAAUUCUAACAUGGAUGCCAAGAUGUCUGGCCCCUGGCAUGCUCAAGCCUUCUCCGAGCUGGUUGGUCAAACACUAACCUCACUCCUGCUGUGAAGAAAUUUUGCAGAUGUAAUUAAGUUCCCAAAUCAGUUGACCUUAUGAUAGGGAGUUUGGCUGGCUGGUCUUGACCUAAUCACAUGGCCCUUUAUAUCUGGAUCUAGAUGUCAGAGACAGAAAAAGUCCAAGAUAUUUGAAGUCUGAGAAGGAUUCAACAAAAGGGAGACACUCCAUUGUUGGCUUUGAAGAUGGAAGGGCCAGGGAGCAAGAAGUGCAACAGCCUCUAGGACUGCUGAGAGCACAUCCCCCCAGGUGACAGCCAGUCAGGAAACACAGACCUCAGUCCUCUAGCUGCAAGACACUGAAUUUCAUGACAACACAAAUGUACUUGGACAAGAGCCCUGAGUUCAGAUGAGAACACAGCCUGGAUGACUCCUUGAUCCAGCCUUGUGAGAAUCUGAAUGGAGAAUCGUGCUUUUCCCAGACACCUGACCCAUGGAAUCUGUGAGGCAAUACUGUCUGUUGUUUUAAGGUGUUGAAUUUGUCAUAAUAUGUUACUCAGUAUAGAAAACAAAUGCAUACUCACAAAUGGUUUUAAAGCUUUUUAUCCAAGACCAAAAUUAAACCUCCCCUGGCGAGAGACCUAUCAGCCUGUCAACUACUGUGAAUGACAUCCAUCAUGCAAGCCCCUCGCUACUCAAAGUGUGAUUCAUGGACCAACAGCAUACACAUGGCCUGGGAGCUGAUUACAAAUGCAACAUCUCAGGCUCCAUCCAGAUUUUCUGAGUCAAUCUUCAUUUUAACAAAUCCCCUAUGAGUCAUAUGCAUUUUAAAGUGUGAGGCACUGGUUAGCAUCCUAAUUCAGAGCUGAAAACCUGGAAUCAGCAAAACUUCGAUUCUCCACAUGGCCCCAUAGUUUUACUGACUGUGGCCUUGAACAAGUUUCUUAACCUCUCUGAGUCUCUAUUAAUCUAUAAAAUGGAGCAAACAAUAGUACCAACUUCACAGGGUCAUGGUGCAGAUUAAAUGGAACAGUAUGUAAAACACAUUAGCCCAGUGCCUCCUGCCACACAAUAAGGGCUUGAUAAAUGUUGGUCGUUAUAGGAUUGAGUGCCAAGAGUGGAGUGAGUUGAGUCUAAAGGGGCAAACCCUUUCAAUUAGAAACAUGCAGGAUCACUGUGACGAACGUCCUCCUCUGAGGAAAUAUAUUGUCACAGACUCCUCAGAGGCUGCAGAAGGUCAUGACCUUGCUUUUCUACCUCAGUAAUCAUCCCCUGACCCCAGGCAGAAUCAGUCAUGCCCUCCCAUCACAAGCACUGACUCCUGUAACCACCUGUGUCUCCCAGCCUCCCACCCACCCCCCCACCCCUGAGAGGUCUCCCCUACCAGCAUUAACCUAUUAACCCCAUUGGGCUCCACCUCACUUAGCUAAUGAUAUCUGGCCAGAAACCAUGGAGACGGGUGUUGGAAACCCCCGAGCAGGUGGUGUCCCUGGAUAUCAGUGACAGCUCACCCCACAGAAGAGAUGAAUGGAUAUGCCAGCAGCAGAGCUGCUGUGGCUGGUUUAAAAGAAAUCUAAGGUUCUUUUCCUUUCUGCCGGAGGGAAUGGUGACAAUGACCUCAGCAGCGAGUAUAAGGACAAAUGAACAUACUGGCAAUUACAAAUGGCCAGAACAGGAGAGAAGUCAUCUGCCCUAGGCUCUGAGAGGUCCGAGAAGUCUGGCUCCUCCUCCUGGUUUCUCUGUUCUUGGCAAACACUCCUCUCCCUUGCUUUAUCCUCUGAGCCUGAGCUGAAGAAAUCUCUAUGGUUCAAUAUAAAUAAUGAGGAUGGUAUUGAUAAUAAUAAUAGCCCUCAUUUGUUGAGUGCUCCAAGUGCCAAGCACUUCUCAUGAAUUAUUUAUACUCCUUAUAACAACUCUGUGGAGAAGACAUUAUUAUGUUUCUUUCUAGUCAAGGAAAUAGACUCAGAGAGGUUAAGUUGCUUGCCUAAGUUUACAUAGCAGGUAAAUGCUUGCCCUUGGAUUGAAACCUGGGCAUGCUUGGCUCAGAAGCCUAUGGUCUCUUCACUUUGUCCACAACAUAGCUGUUGUCCUGACUCCUUUAAUAAGCUCCUGACCUUCUUCCUGAACCCCAUCCUUGGAUCUUUGAUGCUACUGCCAGUAGACUCCUACAGUGCCUUUCUCUUGUCCUUCCCAGGAACCUGGCUUCAUCCUACCACCAGACAUUGUGCUCAAACCAGGGAUGAAGAACUCUACUUGGCCACACUAGUGAAGAUGGGAAAGGAGCAAGGGGGAGAAGGCAGAGAUGUGGCAAUGCUGCGUCUCAGAUUUAUAGAGGAUGGCAGUGGUUCCCAGGGACUAUUAAGAACAGUCUUAUCCUUAAAGAAAAGAAAGUGAAUUGCACUGUGGAAGAAGACAUGAAGUGGUGGAAAAGACUCUGGUGUGGAGCUAAUAAAACCUGAGUUCUCUCUG
Molecule: long non-coding RNA, 3653 nt
Organism: Canis lupus familiaris (dog)
Lineage: Eukaryota; Metazoa; Chordata; Mammalia; Carnivora; Canidae
Exons: 6
Source: RefSeq, a predicted model, not a curated record